CGACGUGAGGAACCUGCCUCAAAGAGGGGGACAACAGUUGGAGACGACUGCUAAUACCGCAUAAGCCCACAGCUCGGCAUCGAGCAGAGGGAAAAGGAGUGAUCCGCUUUGAGAUGGCCUCGCGUCCGAUUAGCUAGUUGGUGAGGUAAUGGCCCACCAAGGCGACGAUCGGUAGCCGGACUGAGAGGUUGAACGGCCACAUUGGGACUGAGACACGGCCCAG
RNAcentral lists this ribosomal RNA (223 nucleotides) under uncultured bacterium. Its description in RNAcentral is "partial 16S ribosomal RNA". It matches the Rfam family "Bacterial small subunit ribosomal RNA", at positions 113 to 334 of the family's 1533-position model. The record is from RNAcentral.